AUUAAAGAAGCAUUUGGCCAAGCAACUAUCUCUGAAAUAUUUUCAGAGCUUCUCUGGUUUUACAUGCAUAGUAAAUAUUUUAUUUAAAUUAGAUAAAAAUAUGGGUCCCCAUCUAUAUACCUUGCUCAACUAUCCUCAGACCAGAUCCAGAAUUCACCCUGCUAUUUCUCAAGAGUCUGACCUGCAUGAACAGCCUCCCUUAUUCUGCGAUCCCAGUUUUGGAGAUCAAGGACAAGUUCAUUCUGGGUUGGCUGUGUUCAACUACUUUAGGCCAGCUACAUGCCCACUGGAAGCCAGGCUCUUGCCAACAGCUGUCUCCACAUUCCUCUUUCUAUGUCUGUUAUUUGUCUCCAGGUUCUGAUAACUACUUCCUCCUUUUACCCCUUCUGGCCUAGGGUGCCACCAAUCCCUCCUCCCAAUCGUGCUUUCACUAGCCUCUAAGUACUUGUAGCUUCCUCCCUUUACCUUCAUCUUAAUAAAUUAUCCCCCUACUAUCUCUCUUCAAAGCACCCAA
Molecule: non-coding RNA, 514 nt
Organism: Saimiri boliviensis boliviensis (Bolivian squirrel monkey)
Lineage: Eukaryota; Metazoa; Chordata; Mammalia; Primates; Cebidae
Source: RefSeq, a predicted model, not a curated record